CUAAGGAGCACUUCUCCACGACGCUUCACACAGGUGAAUGUGGUUGUGGCAGAGACCAUGUCGGACUCGAAUGUAGUCCGGUGGAAGCUCAUGGGUGGAACGCUGACAUGUGCCGGUAUUUAUCUCUGCUGCUGAGUCGGUGGAGCGCCGGAUUGUAGUCGACACACUGUUGGGUCCUGAAAGAACAGACGUUCUUUCCAGGCAAAAAAUACGAUCCGCUCGGAUUUCCAUGUGAUACCGGCCCUUUUGUGGGGGUGCUGGUCCUGGGUUCGGGUUCGAGUGGGUGUGUUGUUUGAGAACUGCACAGUGGACGCGAGCAUCUUUGUUUGUAAGUGUUGAAGAGCGUUC
RNAcentral lists this unclassified non-coding RNA (348 nucleotides) under Nocardia beijingensis. RNAcentral describes it as "16S-23S ribosomal RNA intergenic spacer". The record is from RNAcentral. Lineage: Bacteria; Bacillati; Actinomycetota; Actinomycetes; Mycobacteriales; Nocardiaceae.